Molecule: ribosomal RNA, 346 nt
Filed under: uncultured eukaryote
Lineage: Eukaryota
Description: SSU rRNA
Rfam family: Eukaryotic small subunit ribosomal RNA
Source: RNAcentral
AUAGCGUAUAUUAAAGUUGUUGCAGUUAAAAAGCUCGUAGUUGAAUUUCGGGAUUAAUAUGUUGGUCGUGCCUUGGUACGUACUGGCAUUAUUGAUUCCUACCUUCUGAAGAACCUCGAUGUCAUUAAUUUGGUGUCUUGGGGAAUCAGGACCGUUACUUUGAAAAAAUUAGAGUGUUUAAAGCAGGCUCGCGCUUGAAUACAUUAGCAUGGAAUAAUGAAAUAGGACGUUUGAUUCUAUUUUGUUGGUUUCUAGGAUCGACGUAAUGAUUAAUAGGGAUAGUUGGGGGCAUUAGUAUUCUAUAGUCAGAGGUGAAAUUCUUGGAUUUAUAGAAGACUAACUAGUG